RNAcentral lists this transfer RNA (77 nucleotides) under Endozoicomonas sp. OPT23. RNAcentral describes it as "tRNA-Val". It matches the Rfam family "tRNA". From Rfam's summary of the family: Transfer RNA (tRNA) molecules are approximately 80 nucleotides in length. Their secondary structure includes four short double-helical elements and three loops (D, anti-codon, and T loops). The record is from RNAcentral. Lineage: Bacteria; Pseudomonadati; Pseudomonadota; Gammaproteobacteria; Oceanospirillales; Endozoicomonadaceae.
AGGCGGUUAGCUCAGUUGGUUAGAGCGCUACGUUGACAUCGUAGAGGUCGGCAGUUCGAAUCUGCUACUGCCUACCA